This 2577-nucleotide long non-coding RNA is filed under the name Rhinopithecus bieti (black snub-nosed monkey). Its description in RNAcentral is "lncRNA (ENSRBIG00000045133.1)". Lineage: Eukaryota; Metazoa; Chordata; Mammalia; Primates; Cercopithecidae. The record is from RNAcentral.
CAAUCAACCUCCUGGAGCCUCAGUUUCUCAUCUUUGAAGAGGGAGUGUACUGAGAUUAUUCAGGGAUGGCUUCGGUUUCCGUUACUGAGGCUAAGGCCCAAGGUCCCGGCUCUCAGCACGUUUUGCUCAUGUAGCCCUUGAAGAAUUUUCAGAAAUGUGCCCAUGUCAGGUUUGCAUCUAAAAUCCUUUUGGAUUGGAAAGGGCACAUUUCUGGUGACGCAGCAGCACUCUCACGGGAUCCGCGGGCGAGGCCCUUCCGCCCGGGGCUCGUGGCAGCACAGGCCGUGUGUGGGGGCCUGGCCGGUGCCUGGGUCUGCCCCGGCUCUGCCAUUGCCUGCUGUGUGACCUGGGACUGCUCACGCCACUGCCCCGAGCCUUGGCUUCCUCAUCUUACAUGGCGGUGGCGAGAGCCCCUGACACAAGGCUGUGGCGAGUUUGAACCGGGCGCCUGGAGCAAGGCUUGGCGGGGGUUCACCAGACAGACAAAGGCGACCUGGCUGGGGAGCCAGUCCUUACUUUCAAAGCAGUUGGCAGAACCGGUCUGGCUUCUGUCAGAACUGUUAGGACGUCGGGAGGUGCUCAGUGACGACCCCUCCCUCUGGGUCCUCCUGCCCCGGCCGCUGGGCGUGGAUGAGGAGAAGGCCGGGCCCUGUGCGAACCUUCCGGGCACAGAAUCCGCUGGGCACAGAAUCUGCGACUUCCCCCCGCCGGAGCCCGGCCUUGCCCCGUGCUCUGUGACUGCUUCUGUGUUCGGGGCCCGAGGGUCAGGCAGGGAGAGCUGCACCUCAGGGAGGCUGGGCUGGGGACAGGGUUGGCCCCUCUUGGUGGCAGUCGGGUGGGAAGGGGACACAGUGGAGCCGGGGCCCUGGACUCAGCCAGAUCUACUUGGUGAGAGACUGCAUCUGGCAGUCAGGGAUCUGGAAGUGAAUCCCUUAAGCAACUGCACCACCGCAGCCACCUGGAAAAUCUUCGCAUGCCCGCAGUGUGGAGGUGUCCUAGACGCCAGGGCCCUUAAGCUUCUGUUCUCUCUGGGUGCCUCUGAUGCACACAUCCCGGCUCCCAGGACGAUCUUCCUGCCUGGCGCGGCUGCCUCCUCCACGCCACCCCUCAGUACCCGUGGUCUAGGGAGACUUCAGCAGUUCCCACUCCACACUGCCCAAACAGCUGCUAAAUAUCUGCUGAAGUAAGAGGAAAAGGGCUGCUGAGCUGACACAGCGUGAAGCUGAGGCUGGGUUGCGGAAGGUGCCACAGACUCCACCCGGGUUUCUCUCCUGUUUGACGUUCCUGGGAGCCCAGCCCCCAUGUCGUGAGGAAGCCCACGUCACCUGGAGAGGUCAUGGGCACAGCCACAGUCAGCCACAGCCACAGUGAGCCAUGCAUCAGUCCUGGGAGCCACCCUAGCUAACCCUGAGUGGAGCAGACGCAGGGUGUCCACUCCAAGCCUUGCCCAAAUUUCAACUUCAACUAAGUAAAUGUGGUUUUUUAAGCCACUGCAUUAUGUGGUUUUUUAAGCCGCUGAAUUAUGGGGUCAUUUGUCCCACUGUCGUAGGAACCAGAACGUGCUCCAAGGACCUGUCCCACUGUAAAGACUGGCAGUCGUAUGGCUUCUGUCUCCUGGACUCCUCCCAAGUCUGAACACCUUCCCAACGCCCACAGGUCGCAGCGUAUCUUGGGCAACACCAUCCCCUGCCCCAUCGAGCGGGCACCCGGCCUGUCUCUUGUUUCCUGGAGCUCGCUCAGAGAUAACAGAUUCAUCCGAUCCUCCAGGAAGCGCAGGAGUGGCCUGGCUCCCUGCCCUCCAGCUCUUAGCUCUGCGUCGCUCCUCGUGGGAGCCCUCCCUGCGACAUCUCCCGUUGCCUCUCAGCGCUGAGCUUAACACGGUGGCGUCACCUGGGAGGGCUGAGUCUUUCUGUCUCUUCUCCACCAGCCUCUGAGCUCCAUCAGGGCCCCAGGGCAGUGAUUGCUCCUGUCCUUCCAUAGUCCAGCGCCAAGCCCAGCCCUGCUCUGGGCCUGGACAGUGCUCAGGACAGGACAGUGUGGGAGCCAGCCCCUGGCCCUGACCCUGGCCCUCGGAGCCAGCGCUGUUGCUUCCUUACCUCACUGGAUGUUGCAGGAAUGGGUUAGAGAUCUGAGGAUUGCGGAGAGUUAGGGGUGAGGGGAGAAUGAACCAGUCAUGGGGGCCCCCAGUAUCUCUUAGUGAGCAGAGGGGGAAGGUGGCGCUGGCAGGAAGGAAGGACAGGUGCUGGCUGUGGGUUCCAGCCACUUCCGAGGUGCAGGCCUGGGGAGAGGAGGCAGGUGGGGCCCGCUCGGGGAUCCCCCGAAGAAGUUCUGACUCGGCUCUGCUCCAAUCUGCUCCUGCACAUUCCCCACGCCUGGCAGGCGCUUUUUCUUCUCUUUAAAAGGCACUCCCUGAGCCUGGUGGAAUGAGACAAGCAUGGAAAUCCCUGGGCUGCUCUCAGGGGUGGAAGAGGCUGGGCAUCCCGGCGGCUCAGGGUGGGACUCGGCCUGCAGAGCCGAGCAGGCGCCCUCUUUCCUCCUUUUCUUUUCCUUUUGUCCAUUUAAUUAUUAAAAUGUAAC